RNAcentral lists this small RNA (4241 nucleotides) under Pongo abelii (Sumatran orangutan). RNAcentral describes it as "retained intron". The record is from RNAcentral. Lineage: Eukaryota; Metazoa; Chordata; Mammalia; Primates; Hominidae.
AGACUCCGGCGCAGGGGGCGGUGAGCCUGCUGCCUCGGUUACUGGGGAGCAACACAGCCGCCUCGGGUUGCCGGCGCUCCUGUCCGGGUCGCAGUGGGACGCCAUGGAGCGCUCCCUGCACCGCGUCUCCCUCGGGAGCCGGCGUGCCCACCCGGACUUGUCCUUCUACCUCACCACCUUUGGUCAGCUGAGGCUGUCCAUUGAUGCCCAGGACCGAGUUCUGCUGCUUCACAGUCUCUUUAUUUGUGUGGGUGGAUAUGUCUAUAUGUGUCUCUUUUUCUCGCUGUGUGUGUGUGUAUGUUUCCAUUCAUCCACCCCAAUGUCUGAAUUCUCUUUUAGUUAUAGAAGGUAAAGGCCUGAUCAGCAAACAGCCUGGCACCUGUGAUCCGUAUGUGAAGAUUUCUUUGAUCCCUGAAGAUAAUAGACUACGCCACCAGAAGACGCAGACCGUUCCAGACUGCAGAGACCCGGCUUUCCACGAGCACUUCUUCUUUCCUGUCCAAGAGGAGGAUGAUCAGAAGCGUCUCUUGGUUACUGUGUGGAACAGGGCCAGCCAGUCCAGACAGAGUGGACUCAUUGGCUGCAUGAGCUUUGGGGUGAAGUCUCUCCUGACUCCAGACAAGGAGAUCAGUGGUUGGUACUACCUCCUAGGGGAGCACCUGGGCCGGACCAAGCACUUGAAGGUGGCCAGGCGGCGACUGCGGCCGCUGAGAGACCCGCUGCUGAGAAUGCCAGGAGGUGGGGACACUGAGAAUGGGAAGAAACUAAAGAUCACCAUCCCGAGGGGAAAGGACGGCUUUGGCUUCACCAUCUGCUGCGACUCUCCAGUCCGAGUCCAGGCCGUGGAUUCCGGGGGUCCGGCGGAACGGGCAGGGCUGCAGCAGCUGGACACGGUGCUGCAGCUGAACGAGAGGCCUGUGGAGCACUGGAAAUGUGUGGAGCUGGCCCACGAGAUCCGGAGCUGCCCCAGUGAGAUCAUCCUACUCGUGUGGCGCAUGGUCCCCCAGGUCAAGCCAGGACCGGAUGGUGGGGUCCUGCGGCGGGCCUCCUGCAAGUCGACACAUGACCUCCAGUCACCCCCCAACAAACGGGAGAAGAACUGCACCCAUGGGGUCCAGGCACGGCCCGAGCAGCGCCACAGCUGCCACCUGGUAUGUGACAGCUCUGAUGGGCUGCUGCUCGGCGGCUGGGAGCGCUACACCGAGGUGGCCAAGCGUGGGGGCCAGCACACCCUGCCUGCACUGUCCCGUGCCACUGCCCCCACCGACCCCAACUACAUCAUCCUGGCCCCGCUGAAUCCUGGGAGCCAGCUGCUCCGGCCUGUGUACCAGGAGGAUACCAUCCCCGAAGAAUCAGGGAGUCCCAGUAAAGGGAAGUCCUACACAGGCCUGGGGAAGAAGUCCCGGCUGAUGAAGACAGUGCAGACCAUGAAGGGCCACGGGAACUACCAAAACUGCCCGGUUGUGAGGCCGCAUGCCACGCACUCAAGCUACGGCACCUACGUCACCCUGGCCCCCAAAGUCCUGGUGUUCCCUGUCUUUGUUCAGCCUCUAGAUCUCUGUAACCCUGCCCGGACCCUCCUGCUGUCAGAGGAGCUGCUGCUGUACGAAGGGAGGAACAAGGCUGCCGAGGUGACACUGUUUGCCUAUUCGGACCUGCUGCUCUUCACCAAGGAGGAUGAGCCUGGCCGCUGCGACGUCCUGAGGAACCCUCUCUACCUCCAGAGUGUGAAGCUGCAGGAAGGUUCUUCAGAAGACCUGAAAUUCUGCGUGCUCUAUCUAGCAGAGAAGGCAGAGUGCUUAUUCACUUUGGAAGCGCACUCGCAGGAGCAGAAGAAGAGAGUGUGCUGGUGCCUGUCAGAGAACAUCGCCAAGCAGCAACAGCUGGCCGCGUCGCCCCCGGACAGCAAGAUGUUUGAGACGGAGGCAGAUGAGAAGAGGGAGAUGCCCUUGGAGGAAGGGAAGGGGCCUGGUGCCGAGGAUUCCCCACCCAGCAAGGAGCCCUCUCCUGGCCAGGAGCUUCCUCCAGGACAAGACCUUCCACCCAACAAGGAUUCCCCUUCUGGGCAGGAACCCGCUCCCGGCCAAGAACCACUGUCCAGCAAAGACUCAGCUACCUCUGAAGGAUCCCCUCCAGGCCCAGACGCUCCGCCCAGCAAGGAUGCGCCACCAUGCCAGGAACCCCCUCCAGCCCAAGACCUCUCACCCUGCCAGGACCUGCCUGCUGGUCAAGAACCCCUGCCUCACCAGGACCCUCUACUCACCAAAGACCUCCCUGCCAUCCAGGAAUCCCCCACCCAGGACCCUCCACCCUGUCAAGAUCUGCCUCCUAGCCAGGUCUCUCUGCCGGCCAAGGCCCUUACUGAGGACACCAUGAGCUCCGGGGACCCACUAGCAGCUACCGGGGACCCACCUGCGGCCUCCAGGCCAGCCUUUGUGAUCCCCGAGGUCCGGCUGGAUAGCACCUACAGCCAGAAGGCAGGGGCAGAGCAGGGCUGCUCGGGAGAUGAGGAGGAUGCAGAAGAGGCCGAGGAGGUGGAGGAGGGGGAGGAAGGGGAGGAGGACGAGGAUGAGGACACCAGCGAUGACAACUACGGAGAGCGCAGUGAGGCCAAGCGCAGCAGCAUGAUCGAGACGGGCCAGGGGGCUGAGGGUGGCCUCUCACUGCGUGUGCAGAACUCGCUGCGGCGCCGGACACACAGCGAGGGCAGCCUGCUGCAGGAGCCCCGAGGGCCCUGCUUCGCCUCCGACACCACCUUGCACUGCUCAGACGGUGAGGGUGCCGCCUCCACCUGGGGCAUGCCUUCGCCCAGCACCCUCAAGAAAGAGCUGGGCCGCAAUGGUGGCUCCAUGCACCACCUUUCCCUCUUCUUCACAGGACACAGGAAGAUGAGCGGGGCUGACACUGUUGGGGAUGAUGACGAAGCCUCCCGGAAGAGAAAGAGCAAAAACCUAGCCAAGGACAUGAAGAACAAGCUGGGCAUCUUCAGACGGCGGAACGAGUCCCCUGGAGCCCCUCCUGCGGGCAAGGCAGACAAGAUGAUGAAGUCAUUCAAGCCCACCUCAGAGGAAGCCCUCAAGUGGGGCGAGUCCUUGGAGAAGCUGCUGGUUCACAAAUACGGGUUAGCAGUGUUCCAAGCCUUCCUUCGCACUGAGUUCAGCGAGGAGAAUCUGGAGUUCUGGUUGGCUUGUGAGGACUUCAAGAAGGUCAAGUCACAGUCCAAGAUGGCAUCCAAGGCCAAGAAGAUCUUUGCUGAAUACAUCGCAAUCCAGGCGUGCAAGGAGGUCAACCUGGACUCCUACACGCGGGAGCACACCAAGGACAACCUGCAGAGCGUCACGCGGGGCUGCUUCGACCUGGCACAGAAGCGCAUCUUUGGGCUCAUGGAAAAGGACUCGUACCCUCGCUUUCUCCGUUCUGACCUCUACCUGGACCUUAUUAACCAGAAGAAGAUGAGUCCCCCGCUUUAGGGGCCACUGGAGUCGAGCUCAGCGUUCACACCAGGCGGGCUGGGUCCCCUGCCCACCUGCCUCCCUCCCCCCUGUGACGGAGGGGGCAAGCAAGCCCCCAGAGGCUGUGUCUCUGGACAGACGGAUAGACAUACGGAAGCGAGGCCUGGACCAAGAGAGGCCCAGGCUACUGGAGGAGUAGAAGGAUGGGCCCCGUGGGGUCCCUACUGCCCCGGUACGAGGGGGCCCAAGGACCCUGGCAGGUCAGGGGCCCCGGCCAAGCCAGAUCUGGAGCUGCUGCUCCCUGCUGCGGAGACCACGGAGGCUUUGCGUUGACCAAGUUCCUUAAAGAACUGGCUGAUGGGGCAGGAGGUCCAGGCCUGGGCUCUCGGGCCCUCCUGGAGGGCCAUUGGAGCUCGCAGCUCAGACCCCCACUUUGAGUUUUAUUUAUUUAAAUAGUAGUUGGAUGCUUGGCACGUCGUCCUGUAAUAGGAAACCCUUGCCUCAUCAGUUUUCCUGAUUUACAAGUGCAAUAUUUUAGCCAAUGCCUUGUGAGAAGCUGCCAUGCAAAGGUGGACACCAUUCUCUAGCUUCAGGGGAUGUGCUCGUCUCAGGCACCGGUGGCAGGCAGCUGGCCUUCUGGACUAAGGCAGCCUGGGGGGACACUGCAGUCUGGCUACACACAGAGAUCUGGCACCCCCUGGGUGGAGUGUCCCUCGGGGGCUUUGGGAAAGCAUGGCACCCUCAGACCACACAGUAGCCGAGUUCUGGAGCAAAUAAAAGGCCUGUGUU